AUUGAACGCUGGCGGCAUGCCUUACACAUGCAAGUCGAACGGCAGCACGGGAGCAAUCCUGGUGGCGAGUGGCGAACGGGUGAGUAAUGUAUCGGAACGUGCCCAGUCGUGGGGGAUAACGUAGCGAAAGCUACGCUAAUACCGCAUACGAUCUAUGGAUGAAAGCGGGGGAUCGCAAGACCUCGCGCGAUUGGAGCGGCCGAUAUCAGAUUAGGUAGUUGGUGGGGUAAAGGCUCACCAAGCCGACGAUCUGUAGCUGGUCUGAGAGGACGACCAGCCACACUGGGACUGAGACACGGCCCAGACUCCUACGGGAGGCAGCAGUGUGGAAUUUUGGGCAAUGGGCGCAAGCCUGAUCCAGCAAUGCCGCGUGCAGGAUGAAGGCCUUCGGGUUGUAAACUGCUUUUGUACGGAACGAAACGGCGAGCUCUAAUACAGUUUGCUAAUGACGGUACCGUAAGAAUAAGCACCGGCUAACUACGUGCCAGCCGCCGCAGUAA
This 500-nucleotide ribosomal RNA is filed under the name uncultured bacterium. RNAcentral describes it as "partial 16S ribosomal RNA". It matches the Rfam family "Bacterial small subunit ribosomal RNA", at positions 30 to 523 of the family's 1533-position model. The record is from RNAcentral.